CGGCGCUUCCCGGCUUCCGUCCCAGCGGCCUCUGGACGCCCUCUACGGUGGCCGCGAGGAGUUACGCACGCGCGGAGGGUGGUGGUGGCGGCGGACGUCCGAGCUGCCUGCCGCUCUUCCGGACUCCUCCGGCGGGGUUUCCUGACCGGGCACGCGGCCCUGGGCCAUUCUUAGGGGCUGAAGACGCCGCCACCCUCUUGCGCCAGCCCCCGCGAUCCCUGGGUGACCGGGCUGGAGCUGUGUGGUGGAAGUACUGUGGCUGCAGCAGAGUGGGGUUUAAGAGCAGCGCUGCGGGAGCCUGUUUAGAGCUACCUAUGAUGCAACUCGCUUCAUACCAACGAGGAAAUACAACACUCUCCUCAGUUCUGUGAAUGUGGGAGGUUGCAUAAUGUGGCUCUGCCAGGUGACACAGCCUGACGCCACUACCCAGGGAUUGAGAAGCACCAGCUUGUGAUCAAAACAUUCUCAUGAGCACCAGCUUGUGAUCAAAACAGUAUCUGCAAUGUGAUCAUUAUGUAUACCUAAAAUGUACCAAUAAACUUAAUUUAAAGAAUUAA
Molecule: long non-coding RNA, 557 nt
Organism: Chinchilla lanigera (long-tailed chinchilla)
Lineage: Eukaryota; Metazoa; Chordata; Mammalia; Rodentia; Chinchillidae
Exons: 2
Source: RefSeq, a predicted model, not a curated record